UACAGGGGGUGCAAACGUUGCUCGGAAUCAUUGGGCGUAAAGCGCACGUAGGCGGUUCGUUAUGUCGGAUGUGAAAGCCCUUGGCUUAACCGAGGAAGUGCAUCCGAAACUGGCGAGCUAGAGUACUAAAGAGGAUCGCGGAAUUCCCGGUGUAGAGGUGAAAUUCGUAGAUAGUCGGGAGGAACACCGGUGGCGAAGGCGGGGUCUCUGGGCAGUAACUGACGCUGAGACGCGAAAGCGUGGGGAGCGAACAGG
RNAcentral lists this ribosomal RNA (255 nucleotides) under uncultured bacterium. RNAcentral describes it as "partial 16S ribosomal RNA". It matches the Rfam family "Bacterial small subunit ribosomal RNA", at positions 524 to 776 of the family's 1533-position model. The record is from RNAcentral.